This 391-nucleotide unclassified non-coding RNA is filed under the name soil metagenome. RNAcentral's name for it is "partial contains 5.8S ribosomal RNA, internal transcribed spacer 2, and large subunit ribosomal RNA". The stretch from base 1 to 122 matches the Rfam family "5.8S ribosomal RNA", at positions 35 to 154 of the family's 154-position model. The record is from RNAcentral.
GAUGAAGAACGCAGCGAAAUGCGAUACUUGGUGUGAAUUGCAGAAUCCCGUGAACCAUCGAGUCUUUGAACGCAAGUUGCGCCCGAAGCCAUUAGGUCGAGGGCACGCCUGCCUGGGUGUCACACGUCGUUGCCCCCCCAUCUACUCCUUCGGGAUUGCGGGGGGCGGAUGAUGGCCUCCCGUGCGCCUCGUCGCGCGGUUGGCAUAAAUGCCAAGUCCUCGGCGACGCACGCCACGACAAUCGGUGGUUGCGAAACCUCGGUUGCCCGUCGUGUGCGGUCGUCGCGCAUCGAGGGCUCGAAAAAAUUGCCGGGCUCCGGCUCGGCUUUCAACGCGACCCCAGGUCAGGCGGGGUUACCCGCUGAAUUUAAGCAUAUCAAUAAGCGGAGGA